This 468-nucleotide ribosomal RNA is filed under the name uncultured bacterium. Its description in RNAcentral is "partial 16S ribosomal RNA". It matches the Rfam family "Bacterial small subunit ribosomal RNA", at positions 28 to 507 of the family's 1533-position model. The record is from RNAcentral.
GACGAACGCUGGCGGCGUGCUUAACACAUGCAAGUCGAACGGAAAGGCCCUGCUUUUGUGGGGUGCUCGAGUGGCGAACGGGUGAGUAACACGUGAGUAACCUGCCCUUGACUUUGGGAUAACUUCAGGAAACUGGGGCUAAUACCGGAUAUGAUCUCCUGCUGCAUGGGGGGGGUUGGAAAGUUUCGGCGGUUGGGGAUGGACUCGCGGCUUAUCAGCUUGUUGGUGGGGUAGUGGCUUACCAAGGCUUUGACGGGUAGCCGGCCUGAGAGGGUGACCGGCCACAUUGGGACUGAGAUACGGCCCAGACUCCUACGGGAGGCAGCAGUGGGGAAUAUUGCACAAUGGGCGGAAGCCUGAUGCAGCAACGCCGCGUGCGGGAUGACGGCCUUCGGGUUGUAAACCGCUUUCGCAUGUGACGAAGCGUGAGUGACGGUAAUGGGUAAAGAAGCACCGGCUAACUACGUG